CUGGACCUCGGAUCAGGCCAGGCUACCCGCUGAAUUUAAGCAUAUCAAUAAGCGGAGGAAAAGAAACUAACUAGUAUUCCCCUAGUAACGGCGAGCGAAGCGGGAACAGCUCAAAUUUGAAAUCUCCGGUGCCUGCACCGGCGAAUUGUAGUCUAUAGGGCCAGUUUCGCCAGACGCGGUGUCCCCAAAGUCGUCCUGGAAAGGCGGGCCAGAGAGGGUGAGAGCCCCGUGUGCGGGGGCACUGCGGAAGGUAAGAUCUGUGCCCAAAGAGUCGGGUUGUUUGGGAUUGCAGCCCAAAAUGGGUGGUAAACUCCAUCUAAAGCUAAAUACUGGCACGAGACCGAUAGCGAACAAGUACCGUGAGGGA
Molecule: ribosomal RNA, 367 nt
Filed under: Dysidea cf. herbacea 1B-green-Anae Island
Lineage: Eukaryota; Metazoa; Porifera; Demospongiae; Dictyoceratida; Dysideidae
Description: eukaryotic LSU rRNA
Rfam family: Eukaryotic large subunit ribosomal RNA
Source: RNAcentral